This is a non-coding RNA of Oryza meridionalis, 189 nucleotides long. The record is from Rfam. Lineage: Eukaryota; Viridiplantae; Streptophyta; Magnoliopsida; Poales; Poaceae.
AAAAAGUUUUCGUGUCCAACAUUUAACCAUCAUCUUAUUUGAAAAAGUUAUAAAAAAAAAGACAAGUCACGCAUAAAGUAUUAAUCAUGUUUUUAUCAUCUAACAACAAUGAAAAUACUAAUUAUAAAAAAAUUUCAUAUAAGACGGACAGUCAAACGUUGGACACGGUCAGCAAGAGCCACGCCUACG